RNAcentral lists this ribosomal RNA (492 nucleotides) under uncultured bacterium. Its description in RNAcentral is "partial 16S ribosomal RNA". It matches the Rfam family "Bacterial small subunit ribosomal RNA", at positions 29 to 507 of the family's 1533-position model. The record is from RNAcentral.
AGUGAACGCUGGCGGUAGGCCUAACACAUGCAAGUCGAACGGCAGCACAGUAAGAGCUUGCUCUUACGGGUGGCGAGUGGCGGACGGGUGAGGAAUACAUCGGAAUCUACUUUUUCGUGGGGGAUAACGUAGGGAAACUUACGCUAAUACCGCAUACGACCUACGGGUUAAAGCAGGGGAUCUUCGGACCUUGCGCGAUUGAAUGAGCCGAUGUCGGAUUAGCUAGUUGGGUGGGUAACGGCCCACCAAGGCGACGAUCCGUAGCUGGUCUGAGAGGAUGAUCAGCCACACUGGAACUGAGACACGGUCCAGACUCCUACGGGAGGCAGCAGUGGGGAAUAUUGGGCAAUGGGCGCAAGCCUGAUCCAGCCAUACCGCGUGGGUGAAGAAGGCCUUCGGGUUGUAAAGCCCUUUUGUUGGGAAAGAAAAGCAGCAGGUUAAUACCCCGCUGUUCUGACGGUACCCAAAGAAUAAGCACCGGCUAACUUCGUG